AACCAUAGAAACCUGCGGAGUACCUGCGGAGGGAUCAUUACCGAGUGUAUUUUUUUACCUCUUUAACCCCCUGUGAACAUACCUUUUUGUUGCUUCGGCGGGAUUGUCCCGGCGCCUUUGGGCCCGGAAUCCACGGCGCCUGCCGGAGGCCUUAAACUCUUGUUUUACCCAUUGUGGUUUUUCUUCUGAGUGGCAUAAUGCAAAUAAUAAAUUAAAACUUUCAACAACGGAUCUCAGAUC
This 240-nucleotide unclassified non-coding RNA is filed under the name soil metagenome. RNAcentral describes it as "partial contains 5.8S ribosomal RNA, internal transcribed spacer 2, and large subunit ribosomal RNA". The record is from RNAcentral.